Molecule: non-coding RNA, 9101 nt
Organism: Oryctolagus cuniculus (rabbit)
Lineage: Eukaryota; Metazoa; Chordata; Mammalia; Lagomorpha; Leporidae
Source: RefSeq, a predicted model, not a curated record
GGUUGCAGGGGUGCAGCGGGGCGGGCGCAGGGCCGGGGGCGGGGCGCCGCCGCCUGCCAGCCGCUCCCGCAUUAAAAUUUCAUGCGCGCUGCAGCAGCUACGAAGUCGGCGCCGGCUGCGCUCGGGGGACCAGCGGGAGGGAGGCUGCGGACGAGUGCGGGGAGGAGUCUGCGCUGGGAGGCGCUUGCAGGGGCUCCCCCAGUUCUGCGCCGAGAGCCGCGGCACAAAGAGCUCUCUGCGCCCACCAGAGCCAGCGCCUUCCAUUCAUUCCCGCACUUCCGGAGCUCCAGUCGCAGACGUGCGGUGUCGUCCCGGGCGGCUAGAAGGGGCCGGAGAGGGCUGGCCGUGGUGGUGACAGCGGUGCCGGCAGCGAUACUUGGGCUUGCUGCUCCGCCUGCGUUCUUCCGGCAAGCCCACGAGGGUGGGACUGCACUCUUUGGGCUUGUUUGCAAUGGCAGCACAGCCUGGUGGAAAGAGCAGGGUUGGCCAUGACACCUGUCCGUGUGCAAAUCUUCUCUGAGCUCAGUCUGCUCAUCUGAGAUUGCUGUGAGGCCAUGCACACUGUGGCCUCUCCCUGCCCAUGCACGUGGUUUCUGAGACACGCGUGUGGCCGCCAUGACCCAGUGGCAGCAAAGGGCCCGGGGCUGUUUGCAGAGUACGGCGAUCCGGGGACCCAGGAGACAGAAGAGAGCGCCCAGAUUGUUCCGGACCUGCACGGUCAGCGGGAGCCACCUUGCAGAUAAGUGUGGGACUGGCCAGCCUGCAGCCCUCUGGCCCGCCCCCUGCUGGCCUGUUCAGCAAAGUGCUGGAUCCCAGGAUCAGGAAGAGGGAGGGAGGGUAAUCCGUGAGGCCCCUACUCACUUUUCUACCUCUGUGCCAGAAAGAAAGAGCUUGUCCCUGUUUUGUGGGGCGCAAGAAAAGGCGAUCGGUAUUCCGGAUUCCCGACUCGCUGUCCAGUGCUCCCUCCCAGCCGUCAGCAAGCUGCAAGUUUCUCCUGUGUUCUCUCGGGUCGCCUGUGACGUUGCUGGGGAGCGGGUGGGGGUGGUGCAGGGAGACCUGGCCUCCGCGCUCUCUGGGGAUGUUCUGGGGUGGGAGCCAGGGGAGGUGGAGAGUGGUGCGCCCCCACCCCCCGCCGGGCUCCCAGGCCACCUGCUCACCAGCAGGGAGUUCUGGCUAUGCCCAGGCUGGGGCGGGGGUUGGGGUAGGGGUGGGGGGAUGGUGAGGGCUGGAUGCUGUUUUCUCCCGAGUUGUGUUUGGUGCUUUUUUUUUUUCCUUCCAGGAUGGGGCUGUGGGGUCGACAUGGGGAAUGAGCCGGAGCCGGGCCUGGGCUGCCGAGGCACUGGCUGGAGGCUGCCAGGGCAUGCACUGCGUCCCUUCUCUGAGCUGGACUCGGGGAUCCAGCGGUGAGCACCUGAGAUGCCCCGUACUGUUCCCUGGGAUCUUCAGGAGCCUCUGCUCCGGCCGCGUGGCCAGGACUCCAGGCCUGGUGCCAGCAGCUGUCAGUGGUUUUCUGGACCUCUGGGUGAUCCUGCCAAGACCUCAGCCUUCCCCAUGCACAGGACGGAGCCUGCUGUGGACGCGAGCCCUCCCUGGCCGACACUCCGCUGAGGACUGAACUGGAUGUCAAGGGCAGCUCAAGGGUACAGCAGGGGCCGCAGCAGCCGCCUGCCUGUCGCAUCUGCUGGGCUCCAGUGUCUGGGGCUGGGGGUCACUUCCUGACCCCGCUUGGACUCGGUUCCUCCUCGGGUCUCUGCCUGCGACCUGGGGCCAGGUCUCCCUGACCACGCCUUCCCUCGGGCUGUGUCUCAGAGGAAGCCACAGCUCGAAGCAGGCGUGAGACAGGGGUCGGGAGGGGCUCUGCGCGGGCUGGAGGCUGUGGGGACUUCCUAGGGGACACUUUCCCUGGUGGCUUGGGAGGAGUAGGGGCCUGGCCUCAGGGUGCUCCAGCUCUGGGGGCUUGGUGGGGGUGCAGCUGGAGGGGCAGCGGGGGCAGUGCCCUGGAAAGAUAGUUCUUGGGUGAGGAGGCGCCGAGGCCAAGGAGACGCAUUAGGAAAGACAUAGCCAGCUCCAGGUGCGGUGCUGCUACCUGCAGGCCUGAGGGGCUGCCCCCGGCUCCAUCUCAGGAUGCUAUGUCCCAGUCGGACCCCUUGGAGCUCCUCCCACCGUGGCUGGAUUCUGGCCCUGGGAGCAGAGGCUGGCAACCCCCGUCCCCACUGCUCCCUUGUCCAUCUGUGAGUAGACCCCUAGGGAGGCGGUCGGCCAUCUCAGUGCCUUCCCGUGGCCGGGGUGGGGAGGAGGUGCAGGCAGGGCGGCGUAAACACUGGCCCUUUACUUUCCCAUAGCUGGGGAGGCUGUGACGGCUCAGAAGCCAGGGCUGGUUUUCAGCAAGUCCUCUGCCCACGGCGCCUCUGCUGUGUCCUCUGCUUACGAGGUCCUCAGCCCCGUUGGGCCAGAGCCCUGCCCCGUUGAACUCAUGCCCCCUUCGGCACAGCCCUGGAGGUCCCAUCUCGCACGCAGUGACACAGGGCUCAGGGCUUGGGCCCGAAUGGACUCUGGGGGAGACAGUUCUGUGUGUCAGGUGUGGAGAGCUGGAGUCAUCAACUCUUCAAUCAGGGAUGGGGAGGAGCAGAUGUGGAGAGGGGGGCAGGUGCAGGGCCUGGGUGGGCUGGGGGCAUCUGGGCACAGGUGGAGCUGGCGGGGACCAGGGCGGGAGGAGGCACCUCCUGGGAGCCAGGUCAGGUCUCUGCUGUGAGUUCUGCCGCACCCGUCUCAGACCAGUCCACUCCCCUCUGCUAGCCUCGGCUUCCACUUGCAGGGGGCGCCGCGUGCUCUCCUGGGAGCGAAGGGGGAUCUGAUGAGGUCGUGUGCUUGGCCCAGGGCCUGUUAGUAGCUGCCCGGUAAACACUGCCAUCCAUCUGGGAGUGUGGAGUUAGGGUUUAUCUAUUGUUGGCACGCUGGACUGGAGAACAGCAUCUUCCGACCCAGCCGCUUAGCUGUCCAACCCUUCCCCGUAUCUCAUCGGCUGGGGGAAGUGACUGCAUUUCACAGCCUCCAUGGUAGAUGGUAGCGGUAGUUCAUGGUGUUUUCUGGGGGUAUUUACUGUUUUUUUUUUUUUUUUUUAAGAUUUAUUUAUUUGAGAGAGAGAGAGAGAGAGAAGGGGGAGAGAGAGAGAAAGAGAGAGAUUUUUUGCAUCUUCCAGAUUCACUUUCCAAUUGGCCAUAACAGCCAGGUCUGGACCAGCCUGAAGCCAGGAGCCAGGAGCUCCAUCCUGGUCUCCCACGUGGGCGGCAGAGGCCCAAGCACUUGGGCAUCUUCCAUUGCCUCCCAGGCGGGCGCAUUAACAGCAAGCUGAUUGGCAGCUGAGCAGCCAGGACUUGAACCAGAAACCCCGACAUGGGAUGCAGGUGUUCCGAACGCCAGCCCCUGGGGUGUUUAAAUUCUGCUUCUGUCAUUAGAAUUGAGCACCCACUUGGAGCCUUUCCUGUGGGAGCCACCAGGGGGUGAGGAAGAAGGAGGGCAGAUGGGUAAAGACCAGGUCAUGGUUCAGAUCUUUAAGAUUUCACGGCCAGGCCAGGGGGAAGAAACCAGCUCCUGGGGAGCUGGAGAUGAGGGGCUAGGACCGUCUACUAAGGCACAGGUUCUGAGUCCUUGAGGCGCGGGGAUAAAACCCCUGAGGCUGAACCCACCAGAGCCUUGAAGGAGGAAAAAAAUAUGUCUAGACAAGAGCUUAUUGGGGGGAAGAAUUAGAGCGGAGAGCCACAUAGUAUGUUCUAGAUGUUGAAAAGAGAGUCCCGAUGCAGCGGGUUUCUCUAGUGCAGGGCUUAUCAGAGCGUUUAGAAUGCUCACGGUAAUUCUGGAUGUCCAGGGACAUCCAGGACAAAGAAGGGAGGGCUCCUAGCUUCUCUGGACACGCCAUUCUUUUCUCAUAGAAAUCAUUGUGAACCAUGAGAGAUGCGAGGCUGGGGGGUUGGGAAGGAAAAUGUAGCAGGGAGGUAGAUGGCAUAGCGAGGUGCCCUCAGGUGCAUGGUAGCAUCCACAGGAAAGGGGGCAGAGCAGGAGGGGCCAGGGAUGUGAACUUGGCUGCAAGAGCCAGGUCAACUCACUGCAGAUUCUGGAGGGCGUGGGGGAGAACAGGCCAGUGGUUGGAGCAGGUAGAGACCUGGAGGAUGGUGAUGGCGUCCACCGGGCAUGGUGGCUCUGGGGGACUGGGUGUUUGGUGGUGUGAUGCUGGUGUAGUGUGAGUGUGCCCAGGUGUGAAAGCACCCAGCCCCCAGGGGAAUGGGCUGCCUAGAACCAGGUAGGGGUUUCCAUUCAGAACAAGUAGAGAACUUUCGGGAGAACUGAAGUAUUUGGGGGUGGUGGUGGUGGGGUGGGGAGGAGGGGCUUGGAGACCCACAGCCACCAUGCUUCCGGGCAGGGUGCACGUGGUUGGGUUUGAUUCUGUGGGACCCCGGAGACUUCCAGGUGGACCCCCUGCCCUGGUGGGGCCCCGCUCCCGGGCUGGCGGGCUGCAGCUGGAGGGGCCGGGGAAGUGUGUUGCAUGUGUGAUUAACCUACUAACCCAGGGCUCGGCCGGGACGCUGUGUGACGAGGUGCUGGCCUUCUGCCAACCAACUAACCCACUAACCAGGCCCGAGCAUGCCCUACUAACCCCUCCCGCAGCCAGACCCUACUAACCCGCGCAGCUCAUGGGCCUUUCCAGGGGCUGGGACGUGGGGGCAGAGGAGGCUCUGCAGGACCCUCCCUGCCUGAGGGCUGGGGUCUUUGUGCAGACCCACAAUGCAGGGCAGGGCGAGUCAUGCCCACGCACCAAUUCUGCCACUUCCUGUCCGUGACUCUGAACACAACAUUUCUCUGGUCCUGUUCCCGCUGACCCCUACCUCACAGGCUGCAGUGAGGCGUGCCCAGAAUAAAGGGUCUUGGCACAGGGCAGAUACUUAAAAUAAAAAGGGUGGGGGUGGGGGUGGGACGCGCUGAAACCCCGGGGGCCCCGCCCCCUGCCUGGGCCCUGGUCUCUGGGCGUUCUGCACACAGACCCUUCCACCUGGGGCCAGACACUCCCUUGGAAGCCCUGGCCGUCCCUUGCCCAUUCUUCCUCCUCCUCAGCUCUCCCUCCUGGAGGCGGCUCUUCCGUCCCAUUACUAACUCGUCUAACGCAGGGGCGCCCCCACCCCGCCCCGUAACACACUAACGGACCCGCGUGCCUUCUGCCUUUCCCUCCUGGCGACUCCCGUGUGUGUCUGCUGAGGUGCCCCCGCCCGCUGGCGCUGCGCUCUGACAUACUAACCCAGCCCCUACUAACCCUGUUUUCUUACUAACCCCAGCCCUGCCGAGCUCUGGGCCCCCCACCCACCCCCGGGGGCCUGGUCCCCUUCCCUUUGGCAAGCACGUGGCCCAGGGCUGGCCCUGUAGACAGGUGGUCGGCUCUGCAGCCCCACACCGGCUGUUGGGGUAACAGAGCCCACUGGGCCAGGUCUGAGGCAGGGGACAACGCUCUAAGAACAAUGCAAGGGGUAGGGGGGUAGGGGAGGGGUCCCUGCGGCUGGAGGGCAGCUGGACUCUGAGCCUUGGUUGCCACAGGGUGUGGGCAGGACCAGGGAACCCUCUGGAGGCGUGAGUGUGGAGGCCUGCGGGUCUAGACAGUGGAGCUCUGGGCUUUUCCCAGCCAAGGGAGCAAAGAGAAGGGACAGGAGCCCCAACCAGUAAGUCCUGAAGGGGGCAUGUUCUACACCGGAAGUCGUCCGGCUGAGACGCCCCCAUCUUGGAUGGCCAUGGCGAGGGCGUGUCCACGCUGAAAAAUGAUGAGUGGAGCCUUUUGUUCUCAGGAAGCCAGCCAGCGAGGCUGUCCCCAUAUCUGAAGGUGGAGACAGGGGCUGUUCUGACUCGGAAGUCUGAGAGGGGCUUGCCCUUAGGCCAAGCUGGAGAGAAACAGGGCCAGUGACCAACGAGAGGCCCUUUCCAACACAGGAAGUCAGCUAGAGAGGCCCUUCCCGUACUUGGGGCUGAGAGGCGGCUUUCAGGAAGUAGAGUGCCCGGUCUUUUUUUCACACCGGAAGUCACUGGGAAAGACCCGCCCCAUCCCGGAAGCUAGGGGGCGCAGUUCUGCCCUGGGCAUGGUGUACUCAGGAGGAGGAAGCAGGGCUCGGGGGAGGAGCUGCCAAAGCCGCUCAGCUGCCCCCGCCUUGCGUUCACCCCCAGCUCCCCGUCCUGUUCCCAACAGCCCACCUCCCCCAGAGCCCGCCAGCCGCUCACACCAGGGCCACACCUGGGGGUGACUUCCGGCCUCACCUCCAGUAGGCACCUUGGUCGCCUUGGGCUAAUCUCUGGCUCCUGUGCACUAACUCUCGCUCCCGCCCAGCUACUCUCUGCCUGGCCCUGGCUGCCCCAGGGGCUGACCACUAACAGCCAACCCUGCCCCUCUAGGGGCUCCGGGCUCCUGGCCUGGCUCCCGUCGGCCCCUAAUUAACCCGCCCUCACCUUGACUAACUCCUGCCCUUCUGAUCUGUCCCUUUUAGCUGGAACUAAUGGCUUGCCGAGUUCUUUCUAACAGCAGGUGUAACACUCGUCCCUGUCACUAUUAACAGCUUGGAUGUUGGCAUGGCUGGGAAGGCUCUAUCUAACACACGUUUGGGACCUGACUAACCCAGGGAGAGGUGCAGUUAGCGAUGUGGGUGCUGGGGCACAGCAAAGAUCGUAGCCCUCCACGGGAGAUGCCGGGCUCUGGGCUGUGGCGUCCCUGGGGGGAUGCCCCAAGGAGGAGUCAGCCGCGAGCCAGCCUCUCAAGGGGUUGGCCCCUGGGCAGAUUGAUUCACACUUCACCAGCUGCAUUUGGUUUGGAUUAAAGAAAAAAAUAAGUAUCAUAGCUUCGUAGUGUGCAGCUAAGAACAGCUGUGUGUCUCGGGUGUGCCACUGUGUGUGGAAGGAGGAGGGUCUGGAGCUUUUGUUUUGGGGAUGCUGGGAUGUUUGGAUCGGGCUAUCCUGAAAUAUCGUGACUCCAUCAGCCACGUACACCUUAGCGUAAAUCAGCUCCACUCCGUCUCCUGCCAUAACUCUGCCAUGCGGUUUAGCUGCCCUGGGGAGAUGGGAGUUUGGUUGGCAGGGUGUCUGGAUCUCUUUAGGUCUGGGGAGGGGAGUGGUUUGGCAGCAGAGAGGGGGAGCUGUGAGGUCAGGGGUUCCCAGGGUCCCGGUGAGAGGCGGCUGGCUCAGGCUGGCGGGAUAGGAGAGCUUAUGGUCAGAAUUAGAGGCCAGCCCGGCAGCUUUAGAGACAGGUUGCUUGGACCAAAUGAUGCUGGUGACAGCCCGCGUCUAACAGUCACGGGCUCAGAGCUUGCCCAGGGUGGUCGCUGGCAGUGAGCUGUGAAGGGAGACCCAGACACUUAAAAGCAAGCGAGGAAUGAUGGCCUAGGCAGGUGCAGGGGCAGCCGGCAGGGACCUGGCAUGGGGCAGAACGCACUUGCCUGUCGCCCUCUGGUGGCCAGCUUGCCUCAUGGCACACAAAGCUGGGCGCUCAGAAGCGAAAACACGUCCCAACUACAGAGCUUUGGGUGUGCUGAGGCCCUGCUAUGUGCCAGGCGCCGCUCUGGAGGUGGAGCUCUGCACGUGGGAUCCCCCCCCCCCCAAUCUUGGUGCUUCUAUAGCUCAGUAGAAGUAGACAGUGACGCAGGGAGAAGGGUGUCCUUUGGGGCUGGCGAGAGGGCACAGACAAGAUUGCUGUGCACAUGCUGUGCCAGGCAUGGGGUGGUUAAAGGCCACUCAGUCUUUGCUAGCUUGAAUUCUCAUGUGUUAGGUGGGUGUAGGGGAGAGUAGGGGUAGGGAGACGCCUAGUCUUCCAUGGGUGUAGCAGUCAGGGUGGGCUUCCUGGAGAGGGAGAUAUCCAGACUGAGCCCUGCAUGGCUGGAGUGUGGCUGGGGAUGAGUUUAGGACAGCAAGACUGGCAGACACAGGGCUGUGGGAAAUGAGGGAGGAGCCAAGGAGAUUCAUGCAGAGUGUGGGAGGACUCAGAUGGGGACAUGGACAAGGCCUUUGGACUUUGUCCAGUGAGGGGCCAUGGAUGUGGCCUGAGAAGGUGAAGGAGUUGGGCUUCACUUCCAGCCCCAGGGAGCUUGUAAUGAGCUCUAAUCACAGCUGCCACAACCGAGUGCACUCUUGGAAAGGAGAAAGACCCUUCGGGCUGUCCUGAGAGAAACAGGUUGUAGAAACUCUCGCCCGGUUGCAGGCAGCUCUGCAGUGAUGGGGAACUAAAGAGGACCGAGGUGACAGUGAGGACUUGGGGUGGGGGGGCACAGUCCUGAAAUCCCAUCACCCCCGCUGGGUGGGGCCCCGGAGAGGCUGCAGGGAGACACGACGUGGGUGGUAGGUUUACUAGGAGAUCAGUGAGGGAGGGGAUUCCUUUGUCUUGGAGGCUGCCAGGGCAAGAGAACAGUGUGGUGUAGGCGCCCAAGAGGUGGCCCUGGCCCCAGAGAGGGGAAACACGUGUCUUCUGUCCCUGGAGAUGGAAAGAUGGGAACUGGGCCAACGCUGAGGCUGGCGGUGGCUGCGAGAUUCCCGGUGUGUGUGCGUGUUUUUUGACUCAGCCCACACGGGCACAUUCUGUCUGUCCCUCCCUGAUCACAACCUGAGGGUGCCCAUUCCCCCUGGCUUGCUCCAGCCCACUGGACUGCAGGCCGGCUGGGAGUCGGGCCUAAUGAACCGAGGACUUGGCUCUCAAUCUUUUCUCACUGGGCUGUGUGGAGGGAAUGGGCACCAUGGAGCCUGGCUGGGGGCUGUGCUGGUGUAGAGGGGGCCAGGUGCAGCCAGGAAGAUGCCUUGGGGGGGGGUGCGUGGUCCCAGCCCAACAGAAUACCCCCUACCUAAGAUGCUCCUGCGUGUCUCCGGGGCUGAUGGCGGGACAUCAACAGACCAGAAAAGGUGCUCGCGUUCCCCGACGUGACCUCCAGGGGGCGCCGAGGGAGGGCACAGAGAUUCUGCCGUGGAUGGAAAGCAAUGGGGUUUUCACACCGGGUCAGCCGUGUCGGGUCUCUUGGCUUUUGGUUUUCACCCAUGAAUGUAGCUGCUUCUGUGUAAAAUACCACGUUGAUAUUAAAUCUCGAUUCACACCCAAA